UAAGGGCGCACGGUGGAUGCCUUGGCACUAGAAGCCGAUGAAGGACGUUACUAACGACGAUAUGCUUUGGGGAGCUGUAAGUAAGCUUUGAUCCAGAGAUUUCCGAAUGGGGAAACCCAGCAUGAGUUAUGUCAUGUUAUCGAUAUGUGAAUACAUAGCAUAUCAGAAGGCACACCCGGAGAACUGAAACAUCUUAGUACCCGGAGGAAGAGAAAGAAAAUUCGAUUCCCUUAGUAGCGGCGAGCGAAACGGGAAGAGCCCAAACCAACAAGCUUGCUUGUUGGGGUUGUAGGACACUCUAUACGGAGUUACAAAGGACGACAUUAGACGAAUCAUCUGGAAAGAUGAAUCAAAGAAGGUAAUAAUCCUGUAGUCGAAAAUGUUGUCUCUCUUGAGUGGAUCCUGAGUACGACGGAGCACGUGAAAUUCCGUCGGAAUCUGGGAGGACCAUCUCCUAAGGCUAAAUACUCUCUAGUGACCGAUAGUGAACCAGUACCGUGAGGGAAAGGUGAAAAGCACCCCGGAAGGGGAGUGAAAUAGAACCUGAAACCGUGUGCUUACAAGUAGUCAGAGCCCGUUAAUGGGUGAUGGCGUGCCUUUUGUAGAAUGAACCGGCGAGUUACGAUUUGAUGCAAGGUUAAGCAGUAAAUGUGGAGCCGUAGCGAAAGCGAGUCUGAAUAGGGCGUUUAGUAUUUGGUCGUAGACCCGAAACCAGGUGAUCUACCCUUG
RNAcentral lists this ribosomal RNA (729 nucleotides) under Staphylococcus aureus. RNAcentral's name for it is "partial 23S ribosomal RNA". It matches the Rfam family "Bacterial large subunit ribosomal RNA", at positions 12 to 738 of the family's 2925-position model. The record is from RNAcentral. Lineage: Bacteria; Bacillati; Bacillota; Bacilli; Caryophanales; Staphylococcaceae.